CAGUCGCCGCGGGAAUACGGAGGGUGCGAGCGUUAAUCGGAAUAACUGGGCGUAAAGGGCACGUAGGCGGUGACUUAAGUGAGGUGUGAAAGCCCCGGGCUUAACCUGGGAAUUGCAUUUCAUACUGGGUCGCUAGAGUACUUUAGGGAGGGGUAGAAUUCCACGUGUAGCGGUGAAAUGCGUAGAGAUGUGGAGGAAUACCGAAGGCGAAGGCAGCCCCUUGGGAAUGUACUGACGCUCAUGUGCGAAAGCGUGGGGAGCAAACAGGAUUAGAUACCCCUGUAGUCCCUGUCUCUUAUAC
Molecule: ribosomal RNA, 301 nt
Filed under: uncultured bacterium
Lineage: Bacteria
Description: partial 16S ribosomal RNA
Rfam family: Bacterial small subunit ribosomal RNA
Source: RNAcentral